This 1637-nucleotide long non-coding RNA is filed under the name Pogona vitticeps (central bearded dragon). RNAcentral describes it as "lncRNA (ENSPVIG00000006569.1)". Lineage: Eukaryota; Metazoa; Chordata; Lepidosauria; Squamata; Agamidae. The record is from RNAcentral.
GGAAACUGUAUGUGUUUGAACCAUUCCCCAUUUGCACCAUUAUCCAUGGGACCAAUCAACCUCAAGUAAACAAAGGAAAGCCAGUUAACCUUUGCUUCUCGCUAGGACAUCUGCUAUUGUUCAACAGAAGGCCGGGGCUCCUCCUGAUGAAAUCCCCAAGCUGGCAAACAACCGUAUAAGUGCUGCUGGAUUAAAUAAAUGUUGAACAAGUUUCACUCAGAUUAUUGCAAAAAAGGAUAUAUAUUUUUUCUAUUUUAAAUCCAUAGUUAACUACAAAUCACUCCAGAUACCCAUAAGACGGUAUAUCUUGAAACAGGAUUUUUUUUCCCUGAAUGUACAGACACCUCCUAAAACCUUUCAAAUGGCUUUCAUAAUUACUCAUAGCCUGGUGUGUUUUUUUAAAGACAUAUUCAUGUAAAAUAAUUCUCUCUUUCUCUCUCUCUAAGGAGACCAAAGAAAUGUGUUCUCAAUACUUAGAGCUGUGGUAGAAAAAUCCCAGUCCAGAGGCCUAAUCCACCUGAACCACAGCCUUUUUCCCAAAUCCCUACCAUCUGGAAGUGCAACAUCCUGGCGAAAUCUGGAGGAAGACCCAAGAUAGGAGAUGCCUACAGUGGCAAAGAUUUCCAGUGGAUGCCCUGGAAAACAGACAACAAGUGUUGCAGAAACACAGACAGCAUAAUUGUACCUACUGUGUGGCACAGGUAGCAGAGAAUCACUUCCAUUGCAUUGGUAAUGAAGUAGCCAGCAGAAAUUUUAAUGGUUAAGAGCAGAGCUUCAAAUCCUUCCUUCCCUCAAUUUCCUGGCACAGGUUGAAUCCACUUGGUGGUGCUGGGCCAUCAGUCUUUCUCUCCCUGCCUUCGUUCCACAAGUGUAAAAUAGGAAUGACAGCGCAUCGUAAUCGGUGGACCAUUGAUAAAGAUCUAAGAUACAUCUUAGAUAUACUUAGAGCUUAAAUAUGCCCAUAAAGCAAAGGCAUUUAGAGUUAUAAAAUUAAGAGACAGCGAUAUAUGUUCAGGAGGUUUGUCAUUGCAUAGUUACAUGGACAGAUGCAAAGUCUGACAUGAUUUUUACAACAAAACAGUGACAGAUGUGCCUCCACUGUCCAGGGGCUGAUAAAUUCAUAUGGGCAUCUAGUAGGUCUCCUGAUCAUCCUCCUUGAGGUUCUUUAUCUUUAAAUCCUGCAGGGAGGGAACAGAGGAAAUCUUCGAAGAAGGCUUGAUCCCUGGCACCCAUUUGAAAAGAGGGCAUCCAGCUACACUAACAGAUUUCCUCCUGGCAUGUGUAUACCUAUUCCUGGAAUUUAACAAAAUCCUUUUACAUGGCAUAGAAAAAUAGGAUCUAACUCUUGGAGCAAAUUGCAAAGUAAUCUGUUGAAUACUGCGUUUUUCGGAUUCCCCAUGCAACUGUUAAUGUCUAUAGUGAUCUAUAAUGUCUACAUAGGGCAAAUUGACUCCAAAAAUUCCUCCUUAUACCUCACUUUCUAAGGACAUUAAGCUUUUAAAAGCAGUUUGUUAAAUACUCUGAAUAACUAAUGAGAGAAACAAGAUUAUUGGGAUAGAAGACUCUAUAAAACUAAACAGCUUGUCUCUGCCUCCUUCUGAAUAGCCUUCUAAGAAGUAAUACAGUAGGACUCUCUU